Molecule: ribosomal RNA, 400 nt
Filed under: uncultured bacterium
Lineage: Bacteria
Description: bacterial SSU rRNA
Rfam family: Bacterial small subunit ribosomal RNA
Source: RNAcentral
UGGGGAAUAUUGGACAAUGGGCGAAAGCCUGAUCCAGCAAUGCCGCGUGAGUGAUGAAGGCCUUAGGGUUGUAAAGCUCUUUUACCCGGGAUGAUAAUGACAGUACCGGGAGAAUAAGCCCCGGCUAACUCCGUGCCAGCAGCCGCGGUAAUACGGAGGGGGCUAGCGUUGUUCGGAAAUACUGGGCGUAAAGCGAACGUAGGCGGCUUAGCAAGUCAGGGGUGAAAUCCCAGAGCUCAACUCUGGAACUGCCUUUGAAACUGCUUCGCUUGAAUCCUGGAGAGGCGAGUGGAAUUCCGAGUGUAGAGGUGAAAUUCGUAGAUAUUCGGAAGAACACCAGUGGCGAAGGCGACUCGCUGGACAGGUAUUGACGCUGAGGUUCGAAAGCGUGGGGAGCAAA